AAUCGGCCCAGUAGUCCUCUUCCUCCUCCUCCCCCCCUGCUUCGAUUCUGCUCGCCAGCUCACCGCCAGUGCUCUGCGCUGCCUGCCCAUCACUCACUCACUCACUCCCCCCACCCGGCGCACACUGCCGCUGCCUGCCACCACCCUACAUAAACCCCCGGCACCCCCUCCGUUGUUGCCACGCCACUUCCCUCCCCGCACCCUGCUCCCUCGCUUCAAAUCGAUUCGGCGCUACCGAGCACCAAACGCCAAGGCGGCUGCUUACCAGAGUCAUGCGGACCCAAAGAAGCCUCCUUCCCCUGCUCCUGCUUUCCGCCGCCGCGCUGCUCGCCGACGCGCAGGAGCGCAAGAACUACGUGGUUCAUCUCGAGCCGAGGGACGGCGGCAGCACCGCUUCGUUGGAGGAGUGGCACCGGUCCUUCUUGCCGGAGGCGACGCUGGACUCGGCGGCGGACGACGGGCCGAGGAUCAUCCACUCGUACAGCCACGUGCUGACGGGCUUCGCUGCCCGCCUCACCGACGCGGAGGCGGAGACGCUGCGGCGCAAGGAGGGGUGUCUGCGGCUGUACCCAGAGGAGUUCCUGCCGCUGGCGACCACCCACUCGCCGGGCUUCCUCGGCCUCCACAUGGGCAAGGACGGCUUCUGGAGCCGCUCCGGCUUCGGCCGCGGCGUGGUGAUUGGGCUCCUCGACACCGGCAUCCUGCCCAGCCACCCGUCCUUCGGCGACGCCGGGCUGCCGCCGCCGCCCAAGAAGUGGAAGGGCGCCUGCCAGUUCCGGUCGAUCGCCGGCGGCGGGUGCAGCAACAAGGUCAUCGGCGCGCGCGCGUUCGGGAGCGCGGCCAUCAACGACUCGGCGCCGCCCGUGGACGACGCGGGCCACGGCACGCACACGGCCAGCACGGCGGCGGGCAACUUCGUGCAGAACGCCGACGUGCGGGGCAACGCGCACGGCACGGCGUCCGGGAUGGCGCCGCACGCGCACCUGGCCAUCUACAAGGUGUGCACGCGGAGCCGGUGCUCCAUCAUGGACAUCGUUGCCGGCCUGGACGCCGCCGUCAAGGACGGCGUCGACGUGCUCUCCUUCUCCAUCAGCGCCACGGACGGCGCGCAGUUCAACUACGACCUCAUCGCCAUCGCCACGUUCAAGGCCAUGGAGCACGGGAUCUUCGUCAGCGCCGCGGCGGGCAACGACGGCCCCGCCGCGGGCUCCAUCACCAACGGCGCGCCAUGGAUGCUGACGGUUGCGGCGGGCACCAUGGACCGCGCGAUACGCACCACCGUCAGGCUCGGCGACGGGCAGGUGUUCGACGGCGAGUCGCUGUUCCAGCCCCGGAACAACACCGCGGGGCGCCCGCUGCCGCUCGUCUUCCCGGGCCGCAACGGCGACCCGGAGGCCCGCGACUGCAGCACGCUGGUGGAGGCCGAGGUGAGGGGCAAGGUGGUGCUGUGCGAGAGCCGCUCCAUCACGGAGCACGUCGAGCAGGGGCAGAUGGUGUCCGCGUACGGCGGCGCCGGCAUGAUCCUCAUGAACAAGCCGGCGGAGGGGUUCACCACCUUCGCCGACGCGCACGUCCUGCCGGCGUCGCACGUGAGCUACGCCGCGGGGUCCAAGAUCGCGGCGUACAUCAAGUCGACGCCCAGGCCCACGGCGACCAUCACGUUCCGGGGCACGGUGAUGGGCUCGUCCCCGGCGCCGUCCGUGGCCUUCUUCUCGUCGCGCGGGCCGAACAAGGCGAGCCCGGGCAUCCUGAAGCCCGACAUCACCGGGCCCGGAAUGAACAUCCUGGCGGCGUGGGCGCCCAGCGAGAUGCACCCGGAGUUCGCGGACGACGUGAGCCUGCCCUUCUUCAUGGAGUCCGGGACGUCCAUGUCGACGCCGCACCUGAGCGGCAUCGCGGCCAUCAUCAAGAGCCUGCACCCGAGCUGGUCCCCCGCGGCGAUCAAGUCGGCGAUCAUGACGUCGUCGGGCACGGCGGACCACGCGGGCGUGCCGAUCAAGGACGAGCAGUACAGGCGGGCGAGCUUCUACAGCAUGGGCGCCGGCUACGUGAACCCGUCCCGCGCCGUCGACCCGGGGCUGGUGUACGACCUCGGCGCCGGCGAGUACAUCGCCUACCUCUGCGGGCUGGGCAUCGGGGACGACGGCGUGAAGGAGAUAACUGGGCGCCGCGUCGCCUGCGCCAAGCUGAAGGCCAUCACCGAGGCGGAGCUCAACUACCCGUCGCUGGUGGUGAAGCUGCUGUCCCAUCCGAUCACCGUCCGCCGCACCGUGACCAACGUCGGGAAGGCCAACUCGGUGUACAAGGCCGUGGUGGACAUGCCCAGGGCCGUGUCCGUGGUGGUGCGGCCCCCGGUGCUGCGGUUCGCCAGGGCGAACGAGAAGCAGAGCUUCACCGUGACGGUGCGGUGGAACGGGCCGCCGGCCGUCGCCGGCGCCGAGGGGAACCUGAAGUGGGUGUCGAGCGAGCACGUCGUCCGGAGCCCGAUCGUUAUACCGCCGGCCAAGGCCGCCGCGUAGGCGUAGCUCCCAAUCCAAUCUGCUUGACGGCCGGCAGGACCGUUCUCAGCUCGUGUCGUGUCUCCGAGGAUGAAGGUCAUCAGUAUUCAGUAGCUUUAGGUAAUCGUGAGUGCGCCCGGUGUACGUAUGGCGAAGGAAGUAGGCAGGCGACUGUUGUAUAGGCUGGUGGAGGCAGGGUACCCGAUCAUCUGCGACGCAGCAAGCUCAGCUGCAAUGGCAAUGGCGCCCGUUCGUUCCGUAUGUAAAAAAAUGGCGGAAAUAAUUAAUCGCAUCGAAAACCCCCAAACCCGAUCAUCUGUCUGUUGCUUGCCUUCUUAGAAAAUACAACCACCAGUCCACCACUACCC
This 2866-nucleotide unclassified non-coding RNA is filed under the name Zea mays. RNAcentral describes it as "misc RNA Zm00001eb001390". The record is from RNAcentral. Lineage: Eukaryota; Viridiplantae; Streptophyta; Magnoliopsida; Poales; Poaceae.